AUUUUGCUGAGGAGUCUCACGAUAGGACGAAACGACCGUCCAGUGU
Molecule: non-coding RNA, 46 nt
Filed under: Schistosoma mattheei
Lineage: Eukaryota; Metazoa; Platyhelminthes; Trematoda; Strigeidida; Schistosomatidae
Source: RNAcentral